RNAcentral lists this small nucleolar RNA (82 nucleotides) under Corchorus olitorius. RNAcentral describes it as "Small nucleolar RNA R12". It matches the Rfam family "Small nucleolar RNA R12". Rfam says of the family: snoR12 is a C/D box small nucleolar RNA, which acts as a methylation guide for 25S ribosomal RNA in plants. snoR12 has been alternatively named snoZ44 in Arabidopsis and snoZ131 in rice. Lineage: Eukaryota; Viridiplantae; Streptophyta; Magnoliopsida; Malvales; Malvaceae. The record is from Rfam by way of RNAcentral.
UUGAGGAUGAUGAAAUGAAAUCAAUAAGACGGAUUCCCAUCGAUUUUUCAUAUGAGAGCAUAAUUAGCUACUUCUGACUCUU